RNAcentral lists this ribosomal RNA (427 nucleotides) under uncultured bacterium. RNAcentral's name for it is "partial 16S ribosomal RNA". It matches the Rfam family "Bacterial small subunit ribosomal RNA", at positions 355 to 774 of the family's 1533-position model. The record is from RNAcentral.
UGGGGAAUAUUGCACAAUGGGCGCAAGCCUGAUGCAGCCAUGCCGCGUGUAUGAAGAAGGCCUUCGGGUUGUAAAGUACUUUCAGCGAGGAGGAAGGCGUUGUGGUUAAUAACCGCAGCGAUUGACGUUACUCGCAGAAGAAGCACCGGCUAACUCAGUGCCAGCAGCCGCGGUAAUACGGAGGGUGCAAGCGUUAAUCGGAAUUACUGGGCGUAAAGCGCACGCAGGCGGUCUGUCAAGUCGGAUGUGAAAUCCCCGGGCUCAACCUGGGAACUGCAUCCGAAACUGGCAGGCUAGAGUCUUGUAGAGGGGGGUAGAAUUCCAGGUGUAGCGGUGAAAUGCGUAGAGAUCUGGAGGAAUACCGGUGGCGAAGGCGGCCCCCUGGACAAAGACUGACGCUCAGGUGCGAAAGCGUGGGGAGCAAACA